This 228-nucleotide ribosomal RNA is filed under the name uncultured bacterium. RNAcentral describes it as "partial 16S ribosomal RNA". It matches the Rfam family "Bacterial small subunit ribosomal RNA", at positions 28 to 253 of the family's 1533-position model. The record is from RNAcentral.
GAUGAACGCUAGCGGCAGGCCUAAUACAUGCAAGCCGAACGGCAAUCCCGACGGCAACGUCGGGACUAGAGUGGCGUAAGGGCGCGCAACACGUAUGGAAUCUACCCGCAACAGGAGGAUAGCUCUCCGAAAGGGGAAUUAAUCCUGCAUAGGAUUUAGGGGCGGCAUCGCCUUUAGAUUAAACUUUCAAGGGUUGUGGAUGAUCAUGCGCAUGAUUAGUUAGUUGGC